GAUCAUGGCUCAGGAUGAACGCUAGCUACAGGCUUAACACAUGCAAGUCGAGGGGCAGCAUGGUCUUAGCUUGCUAAGGCCGAUGGCGACCGGCGCACGGGUGAGUAACACGUAUCCAACCUGCCGUCUACUCUUGACNGCCUUCUGAAAGGAAGAUUAAUACAAGAUGGCAUCAUGAGUUCACAUGUUCACAUGAUUAAAGGUAUUCCGGUAGACGAUGGGAG
Molecule: ribosomal RNA, 224 nt
Filed under: uncultured bacterium
Lineage: Bacteria
Description: partial 16S ribosomal RNA
Rfam family: Bacterial small subunit ribosomal RNA
Source: RNAcentral